Long non-coding RNA from Pecten maximus, 264 nucleotides. RefSeq lists it as uncharacterized. NCBI's taxonomy places the organism in Eukaryota, Metazoa, Mollusca, Bivalvia, Pectinida, Pectinidae. The record is from RefSeq and is a predicted model, not a curated record. The transcript has 3 exons.
AAGAGGGCAGCUACCAUUCUACACAGCUUUUGAUAACAGAAAUGAUGAAAUUGCGUCCAUGCUUAUACUUCACAUGAAGAACUAUGAAGUACGGGCGAUGUUUUCAAGUUCUGGACAAAAUAAAUCAGAAUUCAGCUUCAACGAUCUGCUACGAUCUGAAAAAAUGGAGAAAACAGUAAUGUCUGUCCUGAACUGUAUGAUAGAUCUGAUUGGUACAGACGGGAAAGCUAAUAUCUUCUUCCACGUUCUAGAGAGCGAUGAAAA